Molecule: ribosomal RNA, 965 nt
Filed under: Stemonitis longoides
Lineage: Eukaryota; Evosea; Eumycetozoa; Stemonitida; Stemonitidae
Description: SSU rRNA
Rfam family: Eukaryotic small subunit ribosomal RNA
Source: RNAcentral
GAUGACGGGAAGGCACACAAAGAGUGGACUGCGGCUUAUGGCUAGGUCGCAAUAGUCGUCCCAAGCAUUCGUGAAUCGGUUAACCGAUUCGUGUCUUGUUCGGGUAUUACGGCUAGUCGAUCCCCCCCAGCAAGGGUUGAGCGGGGGGCGGCAAGACAACCUGGUACGGGGGAGGCCCUCUGUGAGGGUUAAUCCCGUGGCGAGUCUGCCGAGAGUAAUCUCGGAUAGACCGUCGUAACGCACGGUAAGGUGUCGGGGGUCCUCCUCGGGAGGAUCCCUUAAGGGACGUGCUACUCCCCCCGCAAGGGUGCCCGGUAUUCUAGGUCUCAACCACCGAAGGUAUCGGGAGCCGACUAACUGCAGCCUAAAUAACUGCAGGGUGGCUGGUAUCAAGGUAAUUUGACUCAACACGGGCCAACUCACCGGGGCAAGAUACAAUGAUGAAGGACAGGCAGAAAGACCUUUCUUGAUGAUGUAAGUGGUGGUGCAUGGCCGUUCUUAGUUCGUGGAGUGAUCUGUCUGGUCUAUUCCGAUAACGAGCGAGACCCCAGUCCCUAACUAGGGGCGGCAGCCAGGCUCUUGUCUUCUACCCCGUUGAUGGCCGGUUCGCUGGUCGGAUGCGGGGGCGGGGCAUCUGUACCAGCUGUCGCCUAUGAGCGCGAGCUCCUUCUUAGGGAGACCGGGGCCGAAAAGGUCUCUGAAAUGGGGUAAUAACAGGUCAGUGAUGCCCUUAGAUGUUCCGGGCCGCACGCGGGUUACAAUGGCAAGCAAAACGGGCGUACCUCCCGCAAACACGUCCUUCGGGAUGUGGGGGGGUAGUCCUUACGCCUAACGGUGAUAGUAAUCCUUAGGGCUUGCCCCGCCUGGGCUAGUCUUUUGGAACUAUUGGUCUUAAACUCGGAAUUUUUAGUAGUCGCGGGUCAUUAACCCGCGACGAAUUGUCUCCCUGCCCUUUGUACACACCG